This 1140-nucleotide long non-coding RNA is filed under the name Mytilus galloprovincialis (Mediterranean mussel). Lineage: Eukaryota; Metazoa; Mollusca; Bivalvia; Mytilida; Mytilidae. The record is from RNAcentral.
CUGCAACAAAAUUUUAUCAUCGUUUUAAGCUGUAUAAGAAUUAUCUUUUUGUGGAUUGAAUAAGUCUACUAAAUGGUCUAUCCCUUAUGUUUUAUUUUCAGUGUUUACAUUCUUUUACUUUUUGUCGAGUCUGUGACUUUUGUCUCAAAGUGAGACAUAGCGAACCAACCUACAUUCUGUCGUCAGCGGCGUCCACAAAUUUUCACUCUGUCGUUAAAGUUUUUUACAUUUUGAUAACUUUCCUAAAUUCCUUGAUUUCUACCAAACUUGAACAGAAGCUUUUUUAUGAUUACAGUAAAACCUGUAUAAAACCGCCGGCUACGGGACUAUGAAAAAGGGCCGGUUUGGACAAUGAGCCGGUUUAUUCAGGUUUCCGUUUUGACCGGAAGUUAAUGACUUGUGACGUCCGACAUUUUGCAUGUAAAAGUUCUCUGUGAUUGUAAAUUAUAUCUGAUAAAUUAAAAUACUUUCACUUUGUUUUUCAUUGUUUGCAUUUGCAUCAUAAUGGUCGCGUUGUUUGGAUUGUGAGACGAGAGUUUCGAUUUACUCCCAUGAUCAAUAAUUUGAAAUGUUGGAAUGGCCGAUUAAAAAAGCCAGAAUAUUAUCAACGUAAUUUCAUCCUUUUGAAACGUUGUCGUACAGUAUACAAUAUCCAUUGAUUGUUGUCAUCCGGGUGUUUUUCAUUAUCAAGGUCAUUUGUUUAGGGGUUCACAACAGGGAACCCAGGAUUUCUAAAUCACUAUGUGAAUUUCUUACUCUGCGAUUUCAAUUUGUUUAUCCAAGUUAAAACGUAAGUUCAAUCCGAGAUGAGUUCGGUGUGUCUUUUCGUUUAAUUGACACGUUUAUAAUGUUUUAAUAAAUAAUACAGCUCACUACUAUACGAUUGUAGGUUCACAGUUUGACACCUGACUAAUUGAUUAUCACAAAAAGCCAUAUUUUAUAAACCACUAUGUUUUGAUUGCAUAUCGAUCAUUGAAUUUAAUUAGACAAACCGGUUUUGACAGGUAAUAAUUAAUGUAAUUAGCAGUAUUGGGACUUCAUAAUUAGACCGGAAUUCGGAAUACACCGGGUCCGGUUUACAAAGGGUAUUUUAACAAAGAAUUUGAAUGGAAAAAUAUGGGACUUUCAUUUUCGGCCGGA